GAGCUGCAGCCACAUCCCUGCAGCUCAGCAGCAGGGGCUGCAGGGAUGUGGCUGCAGCUCAGCAGCAGGGGCUGCAGGGAUGUGGCUGCUGAGCUGCAGCCACAUCCCUGCAGCCACAUCC
Lampris incognitus (smalleye Pacific opah) is the source of this 121-nucleotide small nucleolar RNA. The record is from RefSeq and is a predicted model, not a curated record. Lineage: Eukaryota; Metazoa; Chordata; Actinopteri; Lampriformes; Lampridae.